This 507-nucleotide ribosomal RNA is filed under the name uncultured bacterium. RNAcentral describes it as "partial 16S ribosomal RNA". It matches the Rfam family "Bacterial small subunit ribosomal RNA", at positions 28 to 507 of the family's 1533-position model. The record is from RNAcentral.
GACGAACGCUGGCGGCGUGCUUAACACAUGCAAGUCGAACGGGCCUUGUCCCCUUUUUUUUGGGGGUGGGGUUAGUGGCGCACGGGUGAGUAACACGUGAGUAACCUGCCCCUCACUUCUGGAUAACCGCUUGAAAGGGUGGCUAAUACGGGGUGUUCUGGCCUGCUCGCAUGGGUGGGUUUGGAAAGAUUCGACCGGUUUUGGUUGUUUUGGUGGGGGAUGGGCUCGCGGCCUAUCAGCUUGUUGGUGGGGUGAUGGCCUGCCAAGGCUUUGACGGGUAGCCGGCCUGGGAGGGUGGGCGGUCACACUGGGGCUGAGACACGGCCCAGACUCCUACGGGAGGCAGCAGUGGGGAAUAGUGCACAGUGGGCGCAAGCCUGAUGCAGCGACGCCGCGUGAGAGAUGGAGGCCUUCGGGUUGUGAACCUCUUUCGCCAGUGAAGAAGGUCCUGCUCUUUGUGGUGGGGUUGACGGUAGCAGGGUUAAUGAAGCGCCGGCUAACUACGUG